AAUGUGAUUGCUGGAUCAUAUGGUAAAAGUAGUCUCAUUUUGUAAGAAACUGUCAAAAUGUUUUCCAAGUAUAAUCUUGCAUUUCCAUUAGCAAU
This 95-nucleotide microRNA precursor is filed under the name Marmota monax (woodchuck). Lineage: Eukaryota; Metazoa; Chordata; Mammalia; Rodentia; Sciuridae. The record is from RNAcentral.